UGGGGAAUUUUGGACAAUGGGCGCAAGCCUGAUCCAGCAAUGCCGCGUGCAGGAAGAAGGCCUUCGGGUUGUAAACUGCUCUUGUCAGGGAAGAAAUCUUCUGGGUUAAUACCUCGGGAGGAUGACGGUACCUGAAGAAUAAGCACCGGCUAACUACGUGCCAGCAGCCGCGGUAAUACGUAGGGUGCGAGCGUUAAUCGGAAUUACUGGGCGUAAAGCGUGCGCAGGCGGCUUUGCAAGACAGAUGUGAAAUCCCCGGGCUCAACCUGGGAACUGCAUUUGUGACUGCAAGGCUAGAGUACGGCAGAGGGGGAUGGAAUUCCGCGUGUAGCAGUGAAAUGCGUAGAUAUGCGGAGGAACACCGAUGGCGAAGGCAAUCCCCUGGGCCUGUACUGACGCUCAUGCACGAAAGCGUGGGGAGCAAACAGGAUUAGAUACCCUGGUAGUCCACGCCCUAAACGAUGUCAACUGGUUGUUGGACGGCUUGCUGUUCAGUAACGAAGCUAACGCGUGAAGUUGACCGCCUGGGGAGA
RNAcentral lists this ribosomal RNA (533 nucleotides) under uncultured beta proteobacterium. RNAcentral's name for it is "bacterial SSU rRNA". It matches the Rfam family "Bacterial small subunit ribosomal RNA", at positions 355 to 881 of the family's 1533-position model. Lineage: Bacteria; Pseudomonadati; Pseudomonadota; Betaproteobacteria. The record is from RNAcentral.